GAUGAACGCUGGCGGCGUGCCUAACACAUGCAAGUCGAACGGAGUCGUUUUGGCAAUCUCUUCGGAGAUGGAAUUCUCGACGUAGUGGCGGACGGGUGAGUAACGCGUUAGCAGUCUGCCUUUAAGAGGGGGAUAACAGUCGGAAACGGCUGCUAAUACCGCAUAAAGCAUUAAAUUCGCAUGUUUUGGUUGCCAAAGGAGCAAUCGGCUUUUAGAUGAGCUCGCGUCUGAUUAGCUAGUUGGCGGGGUAACGGCCCACCAAGGCGACGAUCAGUAGCCGGACUGAGGGGUUGAACGGCCACAUUGGGACUGAGACGCGGCCGAGCCUCCUACUGGGGGCAGCAGUGGUGAAUAUUGCGGAAUGGGGGACGCCCUGACGCAGCAGCGCCGCGUGAUUGAAGAAGGCCUUCGGGUUGUAAAGAUGUUUAAUCAGGGACGAAACAAAUGACGGUACCUGAAGAAUAAGCUCCGGCUAACUACGUG
RNAcentral lists this ribosomal RNA (483 nucleotides) under uncultured bacterium. Its description in RNAcentral is "partial 16S ribosomal RNA". It matches the Rfam family "Bacterial small subunit ribosomal RNA", at positions 28 to 507 of the family's 1533-position model. The record is from RNAcentral.